Molecule: ribosomal RNA, 378 nt
Filed under: uncultured eukaryote
Lineage: Eukaryota
Description: partial 18S ribosomal RNA
Rfam family: Eukaryotic small subunit ribosomal RNA
Source: RNAcentral
CAAUAGCGUAUAUUUAAGUUGUUGCAGUUAAAAAGCUCGUAGUUGGAUUUCGGGUGGGACGCAGCGGUCUCGCACUGCGUUUGUACUGCUGCAGCCCUCCUUCUUGCCGGGGGCGGCCUCUCGGACUUCACUGUCUGGGGGUCAGAAUCGGCGAUGUUACUUUGAGUAAAUUAGAGUGUUCAAAGCAAGCUUACGCUCUGAAUAUAAUAGCAUGGGAUAACACGACAGGACUCUGGCCUAUCGUGUUGGUCUAUAGGACCAGAGUAAUGAUUAAGAGGGACAGUCGGGGGCAUUCGUAUUCCGUUGUCAGAGGUGAAAUUCUUGGAUUUACGGAAGACGAACAUCUGCGAAAGCAUUUGCCAAGGAUGUUUUCAUUGA